RNAcentral lists this ribosomal RNA (776 nucleotides) under Salmonella enterica. Its description in RNAcentral is "partial 23S ribosomal RNA". It matches the Rfam family "Bacterial large subunit ribosomal RNA", at positions 415 to 1190 of the family's 2925-position model. Lineage: Bacteria; Pseudomonadati; Pseudomonadota; Gammaproteobacteria; Enterobacterales; Enterobacteriaceae. The record is from RNAcentral.
GGGCGGGACACGUGGUAUCCUGUCUGAAUAUGGGGGGACCAUCCUCCAAGGCUAAAUACUCCUGACUGACCGAUAGUGAACCAGUACCGUGAGGGAAAGGCGAAAAGAACCCCGGCGAGGGGAGUGAAAAAGAACCUGAAACCGUGUACGUACAAGCAGUGGGAGCACAGGUUUACCUGUGUGACUGCGUACCUUUUGUAUAAUGGGUCAGCGACUUAUAUUCUGUAGCAAGGUUAACCGUAUAGGGGAGCCGGAGGGAAACCGAGUCUUAAUUGGGCGUUAAGUUGCAGGGUAUAGACCCGAAACCCGGUGAUCUAGCCAUGGGCAGGUUGAAGGUUGGGUAACACUAACUGGAGGACCGAACCGACUAAUGUUGAAAAAUUAGCGGAUGACCUGUGGCUGGGGGUGAAAGGCCAAUCAAACCGGGAGAUAGCUGGUUCUCCCCGAAAGCUAUUUAGGUAGCGCCUCGUGAAUUCAUCUCCGGGGGUAGAGCACUGUUUCGGCUAGGGGGCCAUCCCGGCUUACCAACCCGAUGCAAACUGCGAAUACCGGAGAAUGUUAUCACGGGAGACACACGGCGGGUGCUAACGUCCGUCGUGAAGAGGGAAACAACCCAGACCGCCAGCUAAGGUCCCAAAGUCAUGGUUAAGUGGGAAACGAUGUGGGAAGGCCCAGACAGCCAGGAUGUUGGCUUAGAAGCAGCCAUCAUUUAAAGAAAGCGUAAUAGCUCACUGGUCGAGUCGGCCUGCGCGGAAGAUGUAACGGGGCUAAACCAU